UAACCAAUUAUUGUCAGGUGUACAUUACUUGGGAAAAGAGGGUUUAACUAGAAAGACCUCAUUUGCAAAAAAAUAAACAGCAUAAUUUCCAUCCAUCUCCCUCCCCAAGGAAGGAUUGAAAUAUGAUGAAUAUCGUUACUUGAGUGUAUCUUAGAGGGCUGCCCCCCACAUUUUAUAGAUAUGCAAAUUAAGCUGACUGGUGUAGUUAAAAAGUUGCUGAAUUACACAGUCUCACAGGUAAGGAAUUAUAUGAAAUAACCCUUCUGGUCAGUAAAAAUGUAUCAAGAUUAAACUUUUAUUACUGGGCCAUAAACGAAUCUCUGCACAUGCUAAAAUGAUUGUUCUCUGAUCCUGUGUACUAGGAAACAAUCAGGAUGCCCUGCACAAUGCCAACAGCACAUCCAGCUUCCAGCCUGCAAAUGGGGAUGGACAAGUGGAGUAUUUCUUUGCAUCAGAUGCCAGUGCCAUCAUCGAGCACACCAACCGUGUCAUCUUUAUGGAGGAUGAUGAUGUGGCUGCUGUUACAGAUGGAUGUCUGUCCCUGCACCGUAUCCGGCGCUCAGUAGACGAGUCCUCCACCAGGCAG
This is a long non-coding RNA of Branchiostoma floridae (Florida lancelet), 586 nucleotides long. RefSeq lists it as uncharacterized. Lineage: Eukaryota; Metazoa; Chordata; Leptocardii; Amphioxiformes; Branchiostomatidae. The record is from RefSeq and is a predicted model, not a curated record. The transcript has 3 exons.